GCUAGUAAUCGCGCAUCAGCCAUGGCGCGGUGAAUACGUUCCCGGGCCUUGUACACACCGCCCGUCAAGCCAUGGGAGUCGGGAGUGCCUGAAGUUCGUGACCGUCACAGGAGCGACCUAAGGCAAGACCGAUGACUGGGGCUAAGUCGUAACAAGGUAUC
This 161-nucleotide ribosomal RNA is filed under the name uncultured bacterium. RNAcentral describes it as "partial 16S ribosomal RNA". It matches the Rfam family "Bacterial small subunit ribosomal RNA", at positions 1334 to 1500 of the family's 1533-position model. The record is from RNAcentral.